Long non-coding RNA from Mercenaria mercenaria, 684 nucleotides. RefSeq lists it as uncharacterized. The transcript has 3 exons. NCBI's taxonomy places the organism in Eukaryota, Metazoa, Mollusca, Bivalvia, Venerida, Veneridae. The record is from RefSeq and is a predicted model, not a curated record.
UGACUGAUUGAUGGAAUUAUUCUACUUUUAUAUAGAAUAUGGACGGCACUCCAGUACAGCAUGUGCAUGGUUGUACCAGUUGACAUUUUUAGAAACGCAUCUCGGUCACAGAAUGCUUUUUCCCUAAAAUGAACACUGGGGUAAUAGAUAUGGUCUAUUAUACAGAGUAUUGUUGUACUGCUGAGAGAGCUCCAAUGUGCUUGUUGACAGACUGAAACCACUUGCUUGCAGUUCAUAAGGCUUACUUCUUGAGAGCAGGCAGCUACAAAAUGGAAGGUCAACAAAACCAGUAUACUUGAAAAGUAAAAAAGAAACACCAGGAAAUAUGAAAAGGUAGAAGAACAAGGGAACUUGAAUAAAAAAAAACUUUUAAAGAUAGGAAUUCAGGAUAUACUUGGAAACUAAAUUUAUUUUGAGAACAGCAGUGAUUGACUAAGUUCUGUUACUUUAAGAGAUAAAGUACUAUUAUCACAUUGGUAUUGUUAUGCUCAUAAAACAUACUAAAGUUUCAUUCAUCUUAUUUUAGAUAAUUGCUUUCUGGUUUAUUUUACAAAGGUUGUCUACUAAUUAACAUAGUUAUAUUUAAGUAAUACUUUCCAUGAAAUUUUAAAGAGAAUGUUUUGUUAUACCCCCACAAAACAAAGUUAAAGGGGUAGUAAGUUUGUCUGUCUUUCAGUCCCUUGG